CAGAGAGCAGCUUCUGGUCUGCUAGCCUGCCGCCCUCCUCACUGGGACAAGCAGUUCUGCACACAAGGGAGAUGUCACAUUCCCACCACCGUCAGGGUCAAAGAUGGAGGAAGGUCUGGACUCAGCGAGAGACUCUGAGCAAACGGGAAAGGGUGUUUCUUGGGCUUUCUGCAGAUUUGCUGGGAUCAAGGUUGUCUUGGUGGAGCCUGAGCUGCUAGCUUCUCUGCUAUUCUCCACUGGCUUUUCGCCUCUGCCUUCCCACCUGAACCACCUACUGUCUGUUAUUUGCUUUUAUAUUCAAAGAUUUAUAAACAAAUCCUUCCCUCAGGGAAAUAGCAAGCUUCUGCAGUAAAGGCCAGUGGAGGUCACAAGAAUAAAGCAAACUUUCCAGAUUCUUUGUCCUCUGAGAUGACGGAGGCCUUGGGUGAGGCAGAAAUGGCAGAAAAGCUUCAGGGGGCUAACUUUGCUACAGAAACCAGAGAUUCCGCCGCCCCCCCCCCCUACUCUCCAGCAUUUCUAACUGCAGGCUGCCUUCAAGGCUGCAAUCAGAGAAGUCUCUCUGGAACUGGAGGGUGAAAUCAUAUCCCUGUCACUAAGAAGCGUCGGGUGUUAUGUCCCAACCACAUAGGCUCACCCAGAGGACAGGUCAGAUAAUGGAGAACUAAGGUCUGGGAGGGGGCAGCAAAGGGCAGCACGCCUGUGCUUACUUCCCAGGCUUUGGCAGGGAGGCCGCCCCAGGGGUUGGCAGGAAGCUGACUCAGGGAGCUGCUUCCCCCACAGGCAUGUCCUUGGUAUGGUAGAGACACUAGAUAUCUUGAGCCCUUGCUAUAGGAACAUGGGAGGUUCAAGGUUUUUUAAGUGUUGGUCCCACCACUGCUUGCAGACCCAAUGUCCUUGCUCCCUUCGUCCAGGGUAAGCUGUGUAGCCACACUGCAGCAGGCCUGGCCUGAGCAGGAGGGAGGAACUGCAGCGUUGUCUUGACUGUUGGAGAUGGGGAUUCUGUUCUCAGCAUCUAGGAAGCAGCUGGAAACCUGUUUUCAGUUCUGCAUCUGGUGGGUUCAGUCAAUUUUGUAUUAUCUGUUUAAAGUCCCUUCCACUCUGCCUGAGGGAAGCCCAGCCCAUGGAUCCUUUUAGGAUCUAUUUCAGUGGCCCUGUACUCUUAGGGUGAGGCAGGUGUGCAUACCUUCCAUUCUUACAGCUUGACACUCAUCCUUAGAGGGUGGAGAUCCUGUUCCAACUUAAACAGGGAUUCCACCUCUUGGGCUACAGAACUAGUCAGUGAGAGUGGUGUAUAGAUGGCUUUUGGGGUCACUGGGACUUGAGUGUCUUCUAAGACUCUGGUCCAGGAUGCCCAAGGGCUUCUUGUCUCAGGUGAAAGAUAGUUAAUCAGAAUGUCAUUUCCUGUCUCUACUCCUAAGGGAGGCAGGCAUUUUGAAUGUAUAGAUCCAUAGAAAUCAAUAGGGAAAUUGCUAUUUUUUUAAGAAGAGAAUCUUAAAAAGCAAUAAUUUAACUGAAGUAGACGUGCAAUGUAAGGAACCCUGAGCCAAGAGCAGGUCUCCUGGGUUCGGGCUGUGCUUGAGUGCCAGUGAUACUGUGACAUUGGAUGAGUCAGGCCUCAUUUCUGGGACUGGUUUCUUCAGCUAUAAAGGGGAUUGCACUGGUCUCCACUGAGGCCAGUUCUUUGUGGAAUGUCAGGCAUCCUAUGCCCCAGAGGAUGUGUUCUGAGUAACAGGCAGAUCUGAAGUGGUAGAAUGUGCGGGGAAGCCUAGAUCAGAGCUUCUACAAUGUUCCUCCAGGGAGGGCUGGGACAUCUUCCCUCCCUCCUGGAUAGACUCAAGGGGGUCGUCUGUAGCUGGCACUGACUUCAGGCCCUGACAGUUGCCGUCUUUGGAGUCUACUAUGGCUCAGUUGCUAAAGAGAUUCAGAAGGGCCUGACUCCUGCUUGGGUUCACUUUGUACAGUGGGCCAUCGCUAAGAUGAUGGAACCAUUCUCCCCCACUCCUCCAAUGGGAUUUGUACAGCGGUGACUGCAUGGGAGGUGGUGCUGUCUGCAUGGGACAGUACAGAUUUCCUCUUCCCCUGUCACUCCACCGGCACUGACUCCGAUUGACCGAAGAAACUGCUUCCUCUUUCCCAAGGAUGGGUCCUACACCUGCCCUCCCUACCCCACGUGAAAGGCACCUUGUGUUGGAUGUAGCCAGACAUGGCCGAAGCUUAGAGAUGGACCCUUGGACCCUUUUUCCCCAACCAAAGAGGCAGGCUUUCACCCAGAAAGGGAGUCUGGACUGCUGCAUCCAAUAGUCUCGUAGCUGCUGCUCCAGGAGGUCCACCAUUCACCCUGAAGGUUGCUGCUGUGCCUGGCAAGUCAUUGAGCUGAGUGCACCUCAGGACCCAGAGGUUCCCUUUCUAGGGAAAAACUGCUGCAUCUUCAGUACACAAGGAAGACCGGUCAUAGCUACCACUUCUGUCACCUGGUCCUGAUGCGAGCCUUCAGCGUGCAAUAUGUGCUGCUAACCAGUCUAACACCAGGAUGCCUGGCUUGUCAGAACAAGUCCCCCAUAACCACUAGAACCCCCAGACCAGCUAGAUUUGGUAGGUACCCACCAUGAAUGCUAGGGUUACUGCACAGGCCCCUUCUCUAGAUUCUUGUGUGAAACCAUUGGCUCCUCAACAAGCAGAAAGGGAAGGCAGGAGAGCAGACCAUCCACAAGUGGAGUGAGCCAGGAGCUGCUCAAAGCAUUUACACCAAAGAAAACAUUUCAGAAGCCAGGGACUCUGUAACUCGAGCCCUGGCAGAAGGAGCCUGGGUCUGAAACCCAAGGGGUUUCCUAGUGGGCUUCUGGUCAGCUCCCUUCCCUGCAGGAGCAAUCUCCUCCCUCAGUCCAUUCCUGCAUUCCCUCUGAGGGGCGGGAGGAAUGCCAGCAGGGGAGAUGGCAGGACCUAGACACAUCCUCAGGACUCUCCCAGCCUCCCUUGCCAUGGCAACGCUGCUAUUUUUAUCCUGUUGUUCAUGAUGCUCAAAGCUCUGACUUUCUCUGUUCCAGAGAGCCCAGCUGCCUUCUGCCCCCAUCCCUUAGCAUAGCACCUUCUCGAAGAGGCAAAGGGAUAAGGAAGAAAGGGGGACACAUUUAAGUCAUUCCUUCACUAGAGGGACCUCUUUGGUUUGCUGGCUUAAAUAACCAGUUUUGUGUUUUCUGAGAGGUCUGAACUAUGAUCGAGUAGGAAGGGCCACUGCUCGGGGUGCCUUCCCAGGGAGCCCUGACAUGCACUUCUGCCUCUUUUGGGAACACCUGAGGUUCUGAGGAAUGUCCUGUUGGCAUAAGCAAUUCAUAAAGUACUCUGCUUGGCUAAUUAGCAGUCAGAUAACUUGAUGUUGCUGUGGAAUCUAAGCUACUUCUCCUCUAUCCCUCUACCAAGAAGCCAGGACAUAUGCGCUUGCAUCUUUGUCCAAUCAUUCUAUCCAAAGCAAGGCAGCAUAUAUAUCAUCCCCAGGCUAGAAAGCAGACUCCCUCCAGUUUAGCCAUAUUCCGUUGAGGUCCCACCUCCAUACGCCUGCAAGGGGCUAAGGAUGAAGCCCAGGGCCACAGAACCACUAGGCAAAUGCUCUCCCACUGAGUUCCAUCUCUAGCCUGGAGCACAUUGUGAUUUUGAAGGCUGCAGUUAGUGAAAGGCAUUCUUUAGCUGUUCUUUCUGCCACCCUUCCAUGGCCCAGCCUUUACCUGUCUUCCUGUGUCCCAACUUCCACUACACUGGCAGGGAAUCCCUGAGAAUCACUGGUGCUAAUGGUCUCCAUCUAUACUCCCCUUUGUUGAUCUGUGGGGUGUGAACUCAGCAUGUGGGGUGGCUGGGCUAUGGGGUACAUUCUAUGUAUAUCCCCAACACCUCUACCCUGGAAGCAGGUCCGGAUCUUAACCCAGCAAAACACCAAUCUACAUCUUGUUAACCUUUGCUUCGGUUGAGUUGGCUCCUGAAUGGUUGUUUUCCUAGGGUGGCUGAGACCCAUUUACUAAGCCUCGUUGGUUUUAUUUUGGCUCUAGCUGCACAGUUUCCGAAAUCUAUGCAUCUGGAGUAAGCAUUUUCUGGUCGCCACUGAAAAGCAUGCUGGCAGAUUCUGCUCUGAUAAUUGCUGUAAUAAACACACUUUAUUACG
Molecule: long non-coding RNA, 4150 nt
Filed under: Mus musculus (house mouse)
Lineage: Eukaryota; Metazoa; Chordata; Mammalia; Rodentia; Muridae
Description: long non-coding RNA chr1:132205394-132209544
Source: RNAcentral